RNAcentral lists this ribosomal RNA (453 nucleotides) under uncultured Porphyromonadaceae bacterium. RNAcentral describes it as "partial 16S ribosomal RNA". It matches the Rfam family "Bacterial small subunit ribosomal RNA", at positions 341 to 792 of the family's 1533-position model. Lineage: Bacteria; Pseudomonadati; Bacteroidota; Bacteroidia; Bacteroidales; Porphyromonadaceae. The record is from RNAcentral.
ACGGAAGGCAGCAGUGAGGAAUAUUGGUCAAUGGGCGGAAGCCUGAACCAGCCAAGUCGCGUGAAGGAAGACGGUAUUAUGUAUUGUAAACUUCUUUAGACGCAGAGAAAUAAGGUGCUCGCGAGCACUGAUGCUAGUAUGCGUAGAAUAAGGAUCGGCUAACUCCGUGCCAGCAGCCGCGGUAAUACGGAGGAUCCGAGCGUUAUCCGGAUUUAUUGGGUUUAAAGGGUGCGCAGGCGGCGCUUUAAGUCAGUGGUAAAAUCGGGAGGCUCAACCUCAUCCCGCCAUUGAUACUGGAGCGCUUGAUUGCGGUUGAGGUAGGCGGAAUUCGUCGUGUAGCGGUGAAAUGCAUAGAUAUGACGAAGAACCCCGAUUGCGUAGGCAGCUUACCAAGCCGUAAAUGACGCUCAUGCACGAAAGUGCGGGGAUCGAACAGGAUUAGAUACCCUGGUA